GAUGAACGCUGGCGGCGUGCAUAACACAUUCAAGUCGAACGGUGAAGUGACUUCGGUCACGGAUCAGUGGCGGACGGGUGAGUAACGCGUGAAUAACCUGCCUGUAUGUGGGGGAUAACAACCGGAAACAGUUGCUAAUACCGCAUAAUGUAUAAGAGUCGCAUGUCUUUUAUACCAAAGAUUUAUUGCAUACAGAUGGAUUCGCGUCCGAUUAGAUAGUUGGUGAGGUAACGGCCACCAAGUCGACGAUCGGUAGCCGGACUGAGAGGUUGAACGGCCACAUUGGAACUGAGAUACGGUCCAAACUCCUACGGGAGGCAGCAGUGGGGAAUAUUGGGCAAUGGGCGCAAGCCUGACCCAGCAACGCCGCGUGAAGGAGAAGGUUUUCGGAUUGUAAACUUCUGUCCUUGAUGAAAAGCAGUAGAUGGUAAUCAAGGAGGAAGCCCCGGNUAACUACGUG
Molecule: ribosomal RNA, 460 nt
Filed under: uncultured bacterium
Lineage: Bacteria
Description: bacterial SSU rRNA
Rfam family: Bacterial small subunit ribosomal RNA
Source: RNAcentral